ACUGGGUUGGCCGAGUGGUUAAGGCGUUGGACUUAAGUUCCAAUGGACAAGUGCUCCGCGUGGGUUCGAACCCCACACCCAGUA
Molecule: non-coding RNA, 84 nt
Organism: Ciona savignyi (Pacific transparent sea squirt)
Lineage: Eukaryota; Metazoa; Chordata; Ascidiacea; Phlebobranchia; Cionidae
Source: Rfam